RNAcentral lists this ribosomal RNA (253 nucleotides) under uncultured bacterium. RNAcentral describes it as "partial 16S ribosomal RNA". It matches the Rfam family "Bacterial small subunit ribosomal RNA", at positions 524 to 776 of the family's 1533-position model. The record is from RNAcentral.
UACGUAGGGGGCAAGCGUUGUCCGGAUUCAUUGGGCGUAAAGAGCGUGUAGGCGGCCAGGUAGGUCGGUUGUGAAAACUGGAGGCUCAACCUUCAGAGGUCGACCGAAACCAUCUGGCUAGAGUCCGGGAGAGGAGAGUGGAAUUCCUGGUGUAGCGGUGAAAUGCGCAGAUAUCAGGAAGAACACCCGUGGCGAAAGCGGCUCUCUGGAUCGAAUCUGACACUGAGGUGCGAAAGCUAGGGUAGCAAACGGG